This 458-nucleotide ribosomal RNA is filed under the name uncultured delta proteobacterium. RNAcentral's name for it is "bacterial SSU rRNA". It matches the Rfam family "Bacterial small subunit ribosomal RNA", at positions 342 to 791 of the family's 1533-position model. The record is from RNAcentral. Lineage: Bacteria; Deltaproteobacteria.
CGGGGGGCAGCAGUGGGGAAUCUUGCGCAAUGGACGAAAGUCUGACGCAGCCACGCCGCGUGAGUGAAGAAGGCCUUCGGGUUGUAAAGCUCUGUCGGAAGGGACAAAAACCAUCUAGGUUAAUAGCCUAGGUGCUUGAUGGUACCUUUAAAGGAAGCACCGGCUAACUUCGUGCCAGCAGCCGCGGUAAUACGAAGGGUGCAAGCGUUGCUCGGAAUUAUUGGGCGUAAAGGGUAGGUAGGUGGUUACGUAUGUCUGAGGUGAAAUCCCUGAGCUUAACUCAGGAAGUGCCUUGGAAACGGCGUAACUAGAGUGCUAGAGAGGUUCGUGGAAUUCCCAGUGUAGCGGUGAAAUGCGUAGAGAUUGGGAGGAACACCAGAGGCGAAGGCGGCGAACUGGAUAGCAACUGACACUGAACUACGAAAGCGUGGGUAGCAAACAGGAUUAGAUACCCCCGU